Dreissena polymorpha is the source of this 636-nucleotide RNA transcript. It is a transcript of the gene named gastrula zinc finger protein XlCGF26.1-like, with no coding region annotated. NCBI's taxonomy places the organism in Eukaryota, Metazoa, Mollusca, Bivalvia, Myida, Dreissenidae. The record is from RefSeq and is a predicted model, not a curated record. The transcript has 3 exons.
UUAUCACCGGGGAUGAACAACUUUUGUCACGUGACCGCAAAAGUCAACGCCGGUUGCAGAAACAGAUUGUAAUCUUGUACAUUAAGAAACAUGACGCUCGUGUGUGAAAUCUGUGGAAAGACAUUUAAAUCGAAGUGGGGGUUAAAGCUUCAUGAUAAGCGCCACAGAGGGACUGGACGAUUCGCCUGUUGUGGGAAAACAUUUUACACAAAACAGGCGUUCAACAGACACAGAUGCAGCAUUCAUGGUGUUGAAAAGCCGUUCCCCUGUGAACAAUGCGGCAAAAAGUUUUCAACCAAAGAUGACCUGAAUCGUCACGUCCGGAGGGAGGUUGCUGCAAAGCAAUUUACCUGCUCAAUUUGCAAUGCAACGCUCCGGGAGAAAAUUGACCUUCAGGCCCACCUUGCCACCCACAAUGGAGAGAAAAACUUUGCUUGUGAUAUGUGUGAAAAGAGGUACAGGCACCGCAGUAGUCUAUCAAAGCACAGAUCUGCAAAGCACCGGGCCUAGUCAUCUGUUGCAUGACGAUGAUAAGACCAAGAAUUAUUUUUAAUUCUUACCAAUGUGCCGUGGUUAUUUUCUUAAUUAUUGAAAAUACAGACUGUCAUACAAUAAUAUAUAGUAUUACGCGUGUUU